Molecule: long non-coding RNA, 2140 nt
Organism: Lathyrus oleraceus (garden pea)
Lineage: Eukaryota; Viridiplantae; Streptophyta; Magnoliopsida; Fabales; Fabaceae
Exons: 2
Source: RefSeq, a predicted model, not a curated record
UCCAAUACAUUACCGAACCCAAUAGUUGUUAAAGGCCCUUAACCAAAUUAAUGGAUGCAUCUGUACACGGUCGGAAUUAGCGACCUCAUCAAUCACGUAGCAGAGCAGGAUUGGUCAGGAACUUUUAUUAAGCACCCUAAAUUACCAUUAAUGCUAGCAAUCUUCCAAAAGCCCAAGGACAAAAUAGGAUGCCCCAACACACAGUAAACCGGUAAACUUUUCCAUGACAGCAAACUAUGCCAUGCGUAUUGAAGUCGACGGUGCUUCCUGCAAUUACUUUUCUUCCUCAAAUUGCUUCGCAGAACACUUCCCCGAGAUUUCCGCAAUCUGCACUUUACAUUGACAAAACAAACAGUGCUUUGAAGAAAAAGGAUUUAAUUCUUCCUUGCUACAUAAUGUCGGCGUCGUUCAGCGACAGCGUGCCCUUGGGCGGGUCAAAAUUGAUGCUUGACAUGGGUUCAUGGCCGUUGUGGAUUUGUCCGCCAACUCCACUUUGGUGAUCUUCCUGUCACCACCGCAUGAGGUAAAUCAUAGCAGGAAAGCAAGUUGUAGACAAAAUAACAGUAACUCGUUUGAAUGAAGCUCCAACAUCCUUAGCCAAACGACGCCGUAAUCCUAAUGUAAACGAAGAGCAAUUCUGCAGGUUUCCUUCCCUCAACUUUUUUUUGCAUUCUAACGCAACCUUUUGAUUCCAAACUGCCAUGAGAUGAUGAAUAAAUUUAGUACCAGAAGCAUCAUCAAAACCAGCUUCUUCAAGCUUGCUUCGUAAAGGUCAAUGCCUUCACCGUUAUGAACGAUGCUAAUUGAACCGAAAUGGUAACCCGAAACACAGAUUGACCUUUAACUCAGUAAAGAUCAUAAUCGAUAGUUAGAGCUUCGGGCAAUCGGAAGAGUUUCAUAAAGCUUUGAUAACGACACCGACGCGGCGGCGGUGUGAAUAACAAGGAGACAAACCAACGCCCUUUGACCGUAUUGUUAAAGAUCACAAAGAGCUAGAUACCUACGCCGUAAGAAAAUUGAAGAAUCACCACAGAUGAGAAGACGAUGAUGUUGCGCCGCUCACUGUGAGGUUUUGGAAAGGAGCGUGUGUUUGUAAAUAACAGUCUGUGCCAAAUCCAUUUGUGAGGCCAACAGAGCCGGAUUGGGUUCGCCAUCAGUCACAUGAUCGACAAUGGGAGUUAAUACAGUGAGGUCAAAACCUCCUAUCAUAGCAAUUCUACUUGGGUCUCUUUGUUGGACGAAUAAGCAUGAUCCUGGAACAGGAUUGUCAUUCACCAAACGCGUGCCAGGUGUAUGAUUAAAUACUUCACCCAAAUUCUGUUUUAAUUUUGACCUAUCCCAAUGGAUUUGAUUUCCUUUACGGUGCUUGUUUACGGUUUCACUGUUUUGGAUCUUUGACCGAUUCUUAUAACGAUCAUGAUUCCUCAAUCGGGUUUUGGCAAGGGUCGCGGUAGUGGUUAUGUGGAUUUUAUGGUGAAUUUGCUCGGGAAAUUGAUUUAUAAAUAUGGUUUUGUAAUGAAUUCAAGUCUAAGUGUGAAUGAAUUUUCUUGUUGUGAUUUUAAGGUCGAGUUCCGGUAUUGGUGAAAUAUUGAAUUUUCUAUGGUUGGUGUUCAUGGCGAAGCUUGAAGCCCACGGUAAACGUCCACAUAAAAGAAAAGCAAGGCAAAAUCAAGCAUACAAAGAUAUAUCAAGCAAACAAGCGAGAAAGCACAAGCAAACAAGAAUUCGUGAAAUGAUAAGGUUUAAGGUUUACCGAUCGGAGACCCUCCGAUGGUUCUUCAAUGGCGACACAAACCCAAUACGGUACUCCCAUGAAAAAGGACAUGGCUUGGUCUUGAAGGAUGAUGAAGCAAGGAAUGUAUAACCAUAAAGAUGAUGAAAGAAGAUGGAUUGUUAAUGCUAGAAUCACAUGUUAUUUUGUACUUGUGCUUGGAUUUACACUUGUACUUUGCUUUUGAAUGAAAUGGAAAGUGUUACAAUUUAUAAUAGUUGCUACUAACAACUUUAGAAUUCAGACUUGUAAUAUCAUUUAUGAUUUUAACAUUUGAAUUGGAAUGGUUUAGAAUUGUGUAUGUGAAUUGACUUAUGAAUGAAGUUUGAAUGGCAUUGUAUUAGAUGCUUGGAAAUUGAAUGUGGUUAA